UCAGUCUCUGAGCGAUGACAAGCCUCCCUUGUUUUUUUAUGGCUUUAUUACACAGACGGAACAUAACAUCCUUGGAAGAUGGAUCAAGUUUUGCUGCUGCUUAACAGCCUGAAUGGAAACAGGGAAAGCACCUUUGGAGUUGUGACCCACAACCUUGGAGGUGAAACAGUUUGACAACAGGUAUCACAUUUAGAAGAAAUACAUGGGCCUCAUUGGAAAUGGAAAAGUCCUCUGUCCUUCAUAAUGUUGCUGAAGAGGAAUAUUGAGUAGGUCAGCUUUUUGUGCAAGGAUCUUAGCUCAUCUGAGAAUCUCCAUUUUGUCCCCACAACAAAUGUGAUAUGCAGUGUAUACAGUAGGUGAGACUGGCUUGCCCAAAGUAAUCAGAGAACUUCAAGGAUAAAAGAGGACUUGAUCUGGGGUCUCCCCAAUCCUAGACCAACAUCUUUACCAAGAUAACACAUUGGAUCCUGAUCUGAAAACCAUCAAAACAAUGGACUUAACCUGAUCCUUCCUAACAACAUGUUCGUAAUCCAGACCAGUCUCUAUCCCUGGUGACAAUUUAGAACCAAAGGAAAUAUAUUUGGAAGUUCCACAUACAGAUCUUUUAUGUCAUGUUUUUGGCUCAAAACUGAAAAGCCAUUUGGGAAAGGAUACUAUUCAGCAGGGUCUUCAACCUCUUUUCACCUCUCGUUUGUUAAAUAUUAUACUUCCUGGAAUUAUUCAAGGGUAAACUAAUUAUGCUCCAGCUUUCAUAAUCAAAACCAGUUUAUCAAGGGGCGUGGGAGUUGUUUUCGUCACUUGAAAUGAGGAGAAACCUCUCUUUCCUCAUAGCACCUAAACCAAAGGAAGUUACAUAGACUCUGCCCUUUUUGCAUAAUGCCGAGGACAGUUUCCAAAUGUCUCCCUACACUCUUUGUCUUCCUGAGAUUCUAGAACCCAAAGAGAAAGGAAGCCAUGGUGGAAACCAUCCUAGCAACUUGGACAAUUCUCUUGGUGAUCCUUGCUGCAGUGCUAAUCAUGACCAUCCUCAUGUUUUUCCUUCCUGCUGUUGUACUGCUCUUGAGGAUGAGGUCUUUGUCACAGAUCUCUUUGGAUGGAACUGUCUAGCCUGCCUCUUUACAAAGUGUUGGGUGAUUUUAGAUGCCCUGGACAUUAAAAUUAAUGACAAUUAAAAUUAAGGAAUUAAGACCAGGAAAAGGAAGUCAUAUCCAAACCUGCCAUUAAAAAAACAGAACUUGAUACCCUGGACUGACUUACUCUUUGUUUGAAUUAGAUUCCUGAGAUUAUUUAAUGAGAAGCUAUCAAAGAGAUGCAAGGGGUCCUGUUAGUUAAAUAUGGUUCUUUAAAGGUAGGUCAGAUCCAUUUGUGAUGCAACUCAGCAUCUGCAAUUUGAGAUUCCUUGACUAGGUAAUUGUAUUUUAUCGACUAUUUACUCAACGUCUGUCAACUUACUCUUGUUAUUUUUAUAACCUUGAACUUCUGUUCUUAUCCCAUCAGAUGUAAAACAGGUGGUGAAGUUCUGUUUCAUUAAAAAUAAAAUCAUAUGUUCUGAGCCUGUUAAACUGAAUUUGAAAAAUGGGUUAGAUGAAAGUGAACGGCCUGCGGGUCAGAUGACGUGACUUCAGUUUGUAGCUGAAAAUAAAG
Python bivittatus (Burmese python) is the source of this 1644-nucleotide long non-coding RNA. RefSeq lists it as uncharacterized. NCBI's taxonomy places the organism in Eukaryota, Metazoa, Chordata, Lepidosauria, Squamata, Pythonidae. The record is from RefSeq and is a predicted model, not a curated record.